RNAcentral lists this ribosomal RNA (447 nucleotides) under Pagrus major (red seabream). RNAcentral describes it as "partial 16S ribosomal RNA". It matches the Rfam family "Bacterial large subunit ribosomal RNA", at positions 1986 to 2583 of the family's 2925-position model. Lineage: Eukaryota; Metazoa; Chordata; Actinopteri; Spariformes; Sparidae. The record is from RNAcentral.
ACCUGUNUGAAUGGCAUCACGAGGGCUUAACUGUCUCCCCUCCCCAGUCAAUGAAAUUGAUCUCCCCGUGCAGAAGCGGGGAUAAUACCAUAAGACGAGAAGACCCUAUGGAGCUUUAGACGUCAGAGCAGCCCAUGUAAAGCACCCCUUAACAAAGGAAAAAACCAAAUGAAGCCUGCCCUAAUGUCUUUGGUUGGGGCGACCGCGGGGAAAUACAAAACCCCCAUGUGGAGUAGGAAUACACAUUCCUAAACCCAAGAGCUCCCGCUCUAAUGAACAGAAAUUCUGACCAAUAAGAUCCGGCACACGCCGAUCAACGGACCGAGUUACCCUAGGGAUAACAGCGCAAUCCCCUUAAAGAGCCCUUAUCGACAAGGGGGUUUACGACCUCGAUGUUGGAUCAGGACAUCCUAAUGGUGCAGCCGCUAUUAAGGGUUCGUUUGNUCG